This 72-nucleotide transfer RNA is filed under the name Dipodomys ordii (Ord's kangaroo rat). It matches the Rfam family "tRNA". From Rfam's summary of the family: Transfer RNA (tRNA) molecules are approximately 80 nucleotides in length. Their secondary structure includes four short double-helical elements and three loops (D, anti-codon, and T loops). Further hydrogen bonds mediate the characteristic L-shaped molecular structure. tRNAs have two regions of fundamental functional importance: the anti-codon, which is responsible for specific mRNA codon recognition, and the 3' end, to which the tRNAs corresponding amino acid is attached (by aminoacyl-tRNA synthetases). tRNAs cope with the degeneracy of the genetic code in two manners: having more than one tRNA (with a specific anti-codon) for a particular amino acid; and 'wobble' base-pairing, i.e. permitting non-standard base-pairing at the 3rd anti-codon position. Lineage: Eukaryota; Metazoa; Chordata; Mammalia; Rodentia; Heteromyidae. The record is from Rfam by way of RNAcentral.
GGAGGCAUGGCUUAGUAGUAUAGUGCCAGCCUAGCAAGCAUGAAGUCCUGAGUUCAAACUCCAGUGCCACCA